GAUGAAGAACGUAGCGAAAUGCGAUAAGUAAUGUGAAUUGCAGAAUUCAGUGAAUCAUCGAAUCUUUGAACGCACAUUGCGCCCUCUGGUAUUCCGGGGGGCAUGCCUGUUCGAGCGUCAUUACAACCCUCAAGCUUUGCUUGGUAUUGGACAUUGCCAGUUUCUGGCAGGUCUUAAAAUCAGUGGCGGUGCCAUUUGGCUUCAAGCGUAGUAAUUCUUCUCGCUUUGGAGAUCCAGGUGGUUACUUGCCAAUAACCCCCAAUUUUUUCAGGUUGACCUCGGAUCAGGUAGGGAUACCCGCUGAACUUAAGCAUAUCAAUAACGGAGGA
This 329-nucleotide unclassified non-coding RNA is filed under the name soil metagenome. Its description in RNAcentral is "partial contains 5.8S ribosomal RNA, internal transcribed spacer 2, and large subunit ribosomal RNA". The stretch from base 1 to 120 matches the Rfam family "5.8S ribosomal RNA", at positions 35 to 154 of the family's 154-position model. The record is from RNAcentral.